GUUCUUUCAAAAAAUUUUAGUUGAAUCAUAAAUCUAAAUAAUUAUGUGCUUCAAUUAACUUAUCUAAAGUGCUUAUGAAGUAUUCAAUAUAUGCAAUAGUAGAAUUAAGAUAUAAGAGAAGCUAUGCAAAAAUUAAAAUAACGCAAAGCAAAAAUUAAAAAUAAAAGAAAGUAAGCAAGGAAAGUCACAAUACAAAUGCAUGAAUUUUAUAGUUAGGUGUAAUCCCACACCUACAUCCACUCCCCU
Molecule: long non-coding RNA, 246 nt
Filed under: Elaeis guineensis (African oil palm)
Lineage: Eukaryota; Viridiplantae; Streptophyta; Magnoliopsida; Arecales; Arecaceae
Description: long non-coding RNA (EGUI_LNC018307)
Source: RNAcentral